This is a long non-coding RNA of Dioscorea cayenensis subsp. rotundata (Guinea yam), 632 nucleotides long. RefSeq lists it as uncharacterized. The record is from RefSeq and is a predicted model, not a curated record. The transcript is spliced from 3 exons. Lineage: Eukaryota; Viridiplantae; Streptophyta; Magnoliopsida; Dioscoreales; Dioscoreaceae.
CCCGGCGAUACCUCGACAAGAGAGCGAGGUGGUGAAGAAUUCCAAUGAAGGAGACCAGAAUCUUGAAGAUAACGAAGCAGAAGAUUAGGGUAGGCCAAAGCGAAGGAGAAGAAGAAGCCCCUUCACAUCCCAGAGUUUUUUAGGGCAAAGGAAUUAAGUUGAGGGACAUCAAGAAGGGAUCGAUGUGUUGUCAAUGACAUGGAUGAGAAUGAAAUUCUUCAGAUGAUUGAGGUGCCAUAGAUGAUACAAAUCUUGGACGGCAAGCUGGAGCUUCCAAAUCUGAGGAUUUCACAAUUAUUUGUUGGCUUGUAAAACUAUGAAAACAUAGAAAUAGUCAAGCGAUUUUUGGAUAGUAGUAUGAGGCAGAUUAUGGCCUUCUUGUCUUUUGGUGUUCUUAUGGUGUUUCCUCUAAAUUUCUUUUUGCGAAUAUGAAGAACUGGGUGGCAAUGAGCCUGCUGAGAUAAAUAAUGUAGCUGAUGAUGACAACAAUAUAUAAUGAAAAUAUUGAUCAGAAUAUGGCUCCUGAGGCAAAUGAUGCAUCUGAGGAUAGUGAUUGUGAUAGUGAUGGUGAUUUUUCGAAGGAUACAAAAACUGGUGAAGUUGACGAAGUUGAUGGUUGAGAAGAAGUCAGA